RNAcentral lists this ribosomal RNA (305 nucleotides) under uncultured bacterium. Its description in RNAcentral is "partial 16S ribosomal RNA". It matches the Rfam family "Bacterial small subunit ribosomal RNA", at positions 505 to 809 of the family's 1533-position model. The record is from RNAcentral.
ACAGCAGCAGCCGCGGUAAUACGGAGGAUCCAAGCGUUAUCCGGAAUCAUUGGGUUUAAAGGGUCCGUAGGCGGUCUUGUAAGUCAGUGGUGAAAGCCCAUCGCUCAACGGUGGAACGGCCAUUGAUACUGCAGGACUUGAAUUAUUGGGAAGUAACUAGAAUAUGUAGUGUAGCGGUGAAAUGCUUAGAGAUUACAUGGAAUACCAAUUGCGAAGGCAGGUUACUACCAAUUGAUUGACGCUGAUGGACGAAAGCGUGGGUAGCGAACAGGAUUAGAUACCCCUGUAGUCCCUGUCUCUUAUAA